Molecule: transfer RNA, 73 nt
Filed under: Spirochaetes bacterium RBG_16_67_19
Lineage: Bacteria; Pseudomonadati; Spirochaetota
Description: tRNA-Gln
Rfam family: tRNA
About the family: Transfer RNA (tRNA) molecules are approximately 80 nucleotides in length. Their secondary structure includes four short double-helical elements and three loops (D, anti-codon, and T loops).
Source: RNAcentral
UGGGACGUAGGCAAGCGGUAAGCCACCGGUCUUUGGUACCGGCAUUACGCAGGUUCGAAUCCUGCCGUCCCAG